UGUAGCUCAGCGGUAGAGCACUCGCCUAGUAUGUGUGAGGCCCUGAGUUUGAUCCUCAGCA
Molecule: transfer RNA, 61 nt
Filed under: Ictidomys tridecemlineatus (thirteen-lined ground squirrel)
Lineage: Eukaryota; Metazoa; Chordata; Mammalia; Rodentia; Sciuridae
Description: Spermophilus tridecemlineatus (thirteen-lined ground squirrel) tRNA
Rfam family: tRNA
About the family: Transfer RNA (tRNA) molecules are approximately 80 nucleotides in length.
Source: Rfam by way of RNAcentral